This 468-nucleotide ribosomal RNA is filed under the name uncultured bacterium. Its description in RNAcentral is "partial 16S ribosomal RNA". It matches the Rfam family "Bacterial small subunit ribosomal RNA", at positions 28 to 507 of the family's 1533-position model. The record is from RNAcentral.
GACGAACGCUGGCGGCGUGCUUAACACAUGCAAGUCGAACGGAAAGGCCCUGCUUUUGUGGGGUGCUCGAGUGGCGAACGGGUGAGUAACACGUGAGUAACCUGCCCUUGACUUUGGGAUAACUUCAGGAAACUGGGGCUAAUACCGGAUAGGAGCUCCUGCUGCAUGGUGGGGGUUGGAAAGUUUCGGCGGUUGGGGAUGGACUCGCGGCUUGUCAGCUUGUUGGUGGGGUAGUGGCUUACCAAGGCUUUGACGGGUAGCCGGCCUGAGAGGGUGACCGGCCACAUUGGGACUGAGAUACGGCCCAGACUCCUACGGGAGGCAGCAGUGGGGAAUAUUGCACAAUGGGCGGAAGCCUGAUGCAGCAACGCCGCGUGCGGGAUGAAGGCCUUUGGGUUGUAAACCGCUUUCGCCUGUGACGAAGCGUGAGUGACGGUAAUGGGUAAAGAAGCACCGGCUAACUACGUG